GGCAUGUUGAUCUGUGCUCCCUUUGUUUCCAUAAACGCUGAUACCUUGAUUCACCCGGUUACCGUCCAGGUCAAACUCUUUCCCAAGAGACUCCAUGACAAGCUGCUGUAAAUACCUACUGAAUAGUAAUAAACUGUCCUUGUAUGGGAGGACAACCAUAUCCUUGGAUCCAACUCCAUCAGUUGCCCAGUACCAACACAAAGCAAGUAACGCUGCCGGGUUAUCCCGAACCACAGUGGUCCUGUUUGCUUCAUCCAUCAAUGCAGCACCAGCGAGCAUCUCUCUAAUAUCAAUUCCCUGAAGUGCAGCUGGAAGUAGACCAACUGCAGACAUUUCUGAGGUUCUUCCGCCCACCCAAUCAAACAUAGGG
This 370-nucleotide unclassified non-coding RNA is filed under the name Hevea brasiliensis (rubber tree). The record is from RNAcentral. Lineage: Eukaryota; Viridiplantae; Streptophyta; Magnoliopsida; Malpighiales; Euphorbiaceae.